This is a non-coding RNA of Theobroma umbraticum, 1365 nucleotides long. Lineage: Eukaryota; Viridiplantae; Streptophyta; Magnoliopsida; Malvales; Malvaceae. The record is from RefSeq and is a predicted model, not a curated record.
AAAUCACUCUCACUUUAUAGUAUCUAUCUCUCAUAAGCUCAGAUGAUAUAUCUUCGCUUACUCCAUUUCUCACCAAAAAUUUUCAAAUCUUUUUACUCUCAAAUUUUUCCUAAGACAGCCUCAAGCGCUUACCGUCAGCACCAUCUAUUGCAAUGACGCAACACCAAUUAUGCCCAUGAUACAAGGUAAGCCUAUGGUUGUAACCUUUUGUGCCAACUCUAAAGAUCAAAUCCUAUCAAUACUUAAGGAGAGGCUCUUGAUGCUUCCAUAUAUUGUCUUCCAGCAGCAAGCAUUCAGCAACAAGCAUUACAACUUUGUGCUAAAAAAGUUGCAAUUGCAUUUCGAGAUAUGCAAAAGGCUUUUUGUGUUUGUAGUUUGUUCCAAGAGUUCGAUGGAAAUUCCAGAAGCAAAAUUAAGAGAAUGUGGAAGCAACCUGAGUUCGCCAUUGGUGGAGGGGGAGCUCGUUAGUUAGUAAACAACUUUAGCUCUUGAAAUCUUUCAAUCACAACAAAAUAAUACUUGCAGUUUUUGGUGGUGGAAAGAAGGAUACAACUGUUGGGGAGGUGUGUUUUUCCUUAAUGCUUGACAUUAAUUGAAAUGCUUGACUUAAUUAUUAGUUGCAUAAAUUGAUAUUUAAAGGUGUUACAUUGGUGCAACUAAAUAAAUCUUAUAUGGACAUCUACAAAUCAACAUUGAUACCACCACUUGGAAUUUUGGAAUUCUCAAGCAUGUGUAAAGUGCUAAAUGACCAAGUAAGUAGAGUAUACCUAUUCUUAAGUUUGAGUUCAGUUCUUGUAAACUAGCUUUAAGUUAAAAUCUAUACUCAGAAUAUCUAAUUGCUUUAAAUUUGAACUUACAGCCUCCUCUCACGAGAAAAAAGUUUUUUGACCCAAAAGAUGAUGACCUGGAUUCCAUGUUCGUAAAGAAAAGGAUUUUAUCUAUGUUUCAUUGAGUAGAUUCUUUAGCUUUAUUAGUGUCUUUAGAUUAUUUUAUAUUAUAUUUUAUAAUCUAAUGUUCUUUUACUUUUCUUAUUUUAGGAAUAGCGAACUUGUUGGAGCAUGCUUUUUGCUAGAGUAACAAAUUUGGAUAAAGGAGCAUUCUUUAUGUAAAAUUUGAGAUUGAAUGCAGUAAACUUUGUUGCUGUAUACUUUUGUAAAAUUUUUUAUAACAUCAAAGUUUAGUGAUCAAUAUAUUCUGAAGUUUGCUGUAAAAUUUACAUGGUUUGUACUUUAUAGGUUGCUGUUGUUGCAUGUUAGAAUGUUGUAUGUAUUGUUAUGUAUACCUUUUAGCUGCAUAUUUUAAACGAUGUCAUAGGUUUUAGGAUUGUAGCCAUAUGCUAAAUGGCUACAUAUUAAUUUUGUUGGA